Eurytemora carolleeae is the source of this 384-nucleotide long non-coding RNA. RefSeq lists it as uncharacterized. The transcript has 4 exons. NCBI's taxonomy places the organism in Eukaryota, Metazoa, Arthropoda, Copepoda, Calanoida, Temoridae. The record is from RefSeq and is a predicted model, not a curated record.
AGGUUUUUUUUAUUUUCGCCGUCAUGAGAUAUUGUAAUUUCAGGUUCACAAAAAAUGUUUUAUUUCUGUGCCUAGUGACUGUCCUGUUGUGUCGAAAGUGCUGUUCGAUGGACCUGGGGUCGACAAGAAUAUGGGUCGACUUGUCGCUCAUGAACUUGGACAUCUACUAGGAGCUGAACAUGAUCAAGAUGUUCAGAAUAGGACGGAUUGUAAACCAGGACAGCAUAUCAUGUCUGUCAGUGUUAAUUCAUCGAUGAACACCUGGUCACCCUGCUCUAGGGACGCCAUAGAUAAAGUUGUCGCUGAGAGAACAAUAGAUGGAAACUGUUUCAUCACGUGACACUGUAGAUUUUAUAGCAAAAAUAAAUCUUUUACAUCACUUUA